UGAGGAAUAUUGGUCAAUGGGUGGCAGCCUGAACCAGCCAUCCCGCGUGAAGGAAGAAUGCGCUAUGCGUUGUAAACUUCUUUUUCAGGGGGAUAAAAUUCUGUAUGUAUACAGGACUGAAGGUACCCUGAGAAUAAGCAUCGGCUAACUCCGUGCCAGCAGCCGCGGUAAUACGGAGGAUGCGAGCGUUAUCCGGAUUUAUUGGGUUUAAAGGGUGCGUAGGCGAAAUAAUAAGUCAGUGGUGAAACCCUGCAGCUUAACUGUAGACUUGCCAUUAAUACUGUUUUUCUUGAGUAUGGUCAAGGCAGGCGGAAUGUGUAAUGUAGCGGGGAAAUGCUUAGAUAUUACACAGAACACCGAUAGCGAAGGCAGCUUGCUGGGCCGUUACUGACGCUGAUGCACGAAAGCGUGGGGAUCGAACAG
This 423-nucleotide ribosomal RNA is filed under the name uncultured bacterium. RNAcentral's name for it is "bacterial SSU rRNA". It matches the Rfam family "Bacterial small subunit ribosomal RNA", at positions 355 to 775 of the family's 1533-position model. The record is from RNAcentral.